AAAUGAACCAUUCACACAAAUAUGAAGUAUAGCUAAUUGUAAACACAAUUCAAAUAAUAAGUAUUUACAUUGAAUUAUGCAAUCGAACAAAUUUAUUAUGUCUGCACUAAGAUCAACAAUAAUGCAAAAUUAAAUUUUUUACUAAACACAAUUUAACACAAUUGCAUAAUUGAUUACGUGUGAAAAAAAGAAUGUGCACUUCUUUGAGCUAUGUUUUUCGGCACCACUUUUGAAAAGUUUGAAUCUUUAAACAAGAUUCUAAGAGCUAAAAAGAUGUAAAAUAUUUCCUUCAAAGAGAUGAAAUUUUCUUGGCUAGCAAAACAAAUUGAAUUGGGUAAAUUUGCAUGAAAAUAAAGAGACUACCAAAUGAGGACACUGUAAUAUAUAGAGGUUCAACCACAUCAUCCUUGCUAGUGGUCUCAUCUUGUCCCACCAUCAUGGAAGAUGAAGUUUCUUUAUUGACAUACAAAGUUUCUUCUAUUAUUGUCUUUAACCUAUCUUUGUAAACAAGAACCCCCAGUUUUUAUCCCACAAAAAUUGGUCGCAAAUCUUCAUUUUUGGCAACUUCAACAAACUUGAUUCGUGGACGUAAUGAUAUGAGCUUAAAAGGUUCAACCGAACUAUCCUAACUAUUUUUCAGCAAAAUGAAGUCCUCUUCAAAAGCACCAAAUAUCCACCCUCACCUCCAAAACAGGGAUUUAUGGACACUAUAAACAUGGAGCGUGAAUUUUCAACAUCAUUGUUCAAUCAUACUAAGCUUUUCUUCAAAUUAAGAUCUUUUUUAAGACACAUGCACUUAGUUUUUUUUUUUUUGUCAGGUAGCCUAGCGGCUAGACAAAUUCACUUUAAAGGUG
RNAcentral lists this long non-coding RNA (854 nucleotides) under Medicago truncatula (barrel medic). RNAcentral's name for it is "long non-coding RNA (MTRU_LNC005760)". Lineage: Eukaryota; Viridiplantae; Streptophyta; Magnoliopsida; Fabales; Fabaceae. The record is from RNAcentral.